This 378-nucleotide ribosomal RNA is filed under the name uncultured bacterium. RNAcentral describes it as "bacterial SSU rRNA". It matches the Rfam family "Bacterial small subunit ribosomal RNA", at positions 28 to 407 of the family's 1533-position model. The record is from RNAcentral.
GACGAACGCUGGCGGCGUGCUUAACACAUGCAAGUCGAGCGGUAAGGCCCUUUCGGGGGUACACGAGCGGCGAACGGGUGAGUAACACGUGGGUGACCUGCCCUUAGCUCUGGGAUAAGCCUGGGAAACUGGGUCUAAUACCGGAUAUGACUCCAUAACGCAUGUUGUGGGGUGGAAAGCCUUGUGCGGCUAGGGAUGGGCCCGCGGCCUAUCAGCUUGUUGGUGGGGUGAUGGCCACCAAGGCGACGACGGGUAGCCGGCCUGAGAGGGCGACCGGCCACACUGGGACUGAGACACGGCCCAGACUCCUACGGGAGGGCAGCAGUGGGGAAUCUUGCGCAAUGGGCGAAAGCCUGACGCAGCGACGCCGCGUGGGGA